Non-coding RNA from Nicotiana tabacum (common tobacco), 502 nucleotides. The record is from RefSeq and is a predicted model, not a curated record. NCBI's taxonomy places the organism in Eukaryota, Viridiplantae, Streptophyta, Magnoliopsida, Solanales, Solanaceae.
UCCCACAAACCCACGAUUCAAACUUCUUCUCCCACCUAAAUUCCCUAGGUUUCCCCCAUUAUCACUCCCCAGUUAUUUUCUCUCUAAAAUUAUAGUUUUAUUCCUGAUACAAGUUCUUGGGAAAGCUUUCGAUUUUCUCUCCAAUGUCGGAUUCAACAUCACACAAGAUGGUAACAAGAGGAAAUUAAACUGUUUGUGAAUCAUCCUCCAAGAUUAUCACCGCAUAUUUGUUCAUAUACAAACACAAACAUAGUAUCCGAUCUCAAAGAAAAGCGUACUCCAGAACAAUAUAAACUAUUAAGUUCUACUUUCAGGGAUUGUGGGGUGCAUGUCGCGGCAUACGUAGAGUUUCUUAGCAUAGUUGGGCUGGUUCCACAAGUAAAAGUUGAUGCCAAUUUACUCCGUCAAAGAUAUGGUGCACUCCUUUGGGACUAUGCUAUGCGGAAGAUAGACGCUGAUGCCGUAAGCAAGAGCGAAGCACCUUCAAAGAUUCUUAGGCACA